RNAcentral lists this ribosomal RNA (253 nucleotides) under uncultured bacterium. Its description in RNAcentral is "partial 16S ribosomal RNA". It matches the Rfam family "Bacterial small subunit ribosomal RNA", at positions 524 to 776 of the family's 1533-position model. The record is from RNAcentral.
UACGUAGGGUGCGAGCGUUAAUCGGAAUUACUGGGCGUAAAGCGUGCGCAGGCGGUUCUCCAAGUCCGUUGGGAAAGCCCCGGGCUCAACCUGGGAAUGGCAGUGGAAACUAGGGGACUGGAAUCUGGCAGAGGGGGGUGGAAUGCCGCGUGUAGCAGUGAAAUGCGUAGAGAUGCGGCGGAACACCGAUGGCGAAGGCAGCCCCCUGGGCUGAGAUUGACGCUCAGGCACGAAAGCGUGGGGAGCAAACAGG